RNAcentral lists this long non-coding RNA (407 nucleotides) under Vulpes vulpes (red fox). RNAcentral describes it as "lncRNA (ENSVVUG00000007691.1)". Lineage: Eukaryota; Metazoa; Chordata; Mammalia; Carnivora; Canidae. The record is from RNAcentral.
AGCCAAGCUACAGUGCAUAACAGUGAAGUGUCCAGUGAGGUAGAUUACCAUGGUUCUCGAUAAUUAUUAUGACGUCAUAGUAAUGAAAGAGAAGACCAGUGAGUAAGGAAGGUCCAAUGAUUUGCCUAAGGCUACAGGAGUUGCAAACUCAUGAAAUGCAGUCAGGAUUUGAAGCCAGGUUUCCCAUAUUCUGGAUGCUGUGUUCCUUCCAUUUUGCCUUUUCGCCUACCAUGGUUUACUGGACCAGAGGCCCCCACAAGUUGAAAUGGAUAUUGCUGGCAAGGACUCACUGGGAUCACACACCCCCAGCAAGAUCCUGAGAAGCCUUCGUACCAGUAUUAUGGCCUCACAAUUUGGUAUCACAUCUGCUUGAUGGAGAUUGGCUUUCUAACAUGUGUUCAGCCUUA